Micropterus dolomieu (smallmouth bass) is the source of this 232-nucleotide long non-coding RNA. RefSeq lists it as uncharacterized. The record is from RefSeq and is a predicted model, not a curated record. Lineage: Eukaryota; Metazoa; Chordata; Actinopteri; Centrarchiformes; Centrarchidae. The transcript is spliced from 3 exons.
CAACAACUCCCCAGGAACUGGUAACUCAAAAAAAAAAGGAUGAAGAGAUUGUCCUGCACGCAAGACGAAAAAAAACUCAAUAAGAGUGACUUUCGUGAACAGCAGUCAGAUAAAGACAUUUUCACAGGUCAGACUUGAAGUCCUUGAGAAAAGCGGUGUUCCAGAUGAAAGGAAGCAACCCUUCUUUCCUCACAAAUGGCUUAAAGGACAACAGAGGGGCUUCGCAAAGAUA